Molecule: ribosomal RNA, 492 nt
Filed under: uncultured bacterium
Lineage: Bacteria
Description: partial 16S ribosomal RNA
Rfam family: Bacterial small subunit ribosomal RNA
Source: RNAcentral
AGUGAACGCUGGCGGUAGGCCUAACACAUGCAAGUCGAACGGCAGCACAGUAAGAGCUUGCUCUUACGGGUGGCGAGUGGCGGACGGGUGAGGAAUACAUCGGAAUCUACUUUUUCGUGGGGGAUAACGUAGGGAAACUUACGCUAAUACCGCGUACGACCUACGGGUGAAAGCAGGGGAUCUUCGGACCUUGCGCGAUUGAAUGAGCCGAUGUCGGAUUAGCUAGUUGGCGGGGUAAAGGCCCACCAAGGCGACGAUCCGUAGCUGGUCUGAGAGGAUGAUCAGCCACACUGGAACUGAGACACGGUCCGGACUCCUACGGGAGGCAGCAGUGGGGAAUAUUGGACAAUGGGCGCAAGCCUGAUCCAGCCAUACCGCGUGGGUGAAGAAGGCCUUCGGGUUGUAAAGCCCUUUUGUUGGGAAAGAAAAGCAGCAGGUUAAUACCCCGCUGUUCUGACGGUACCCAAAGAAUAAGCACCGGCUAACUUCGUG